Molecule: long non-coding RNA, 546 nt
Organism: Gorilla gorilla gorilla (western lowland gorilla)
Lineage: Eukaryota; Metazoa; Chordata; Mammalia; Primates; Hominidae
Exons: 4
Source: RefSeq, a predicted model, not a curated record
GGGCAGAAGUCUGGGCCCUGCAUGCUGUCUUUGUUGGCGUGCGUGGAGCCUGCUCCGAUCAAGUCAGCCACCUUUGAUGUUCCUGGUUUCCAUGGCUUUGCCCAUCCUGGUAGAACUAUCCGCUGAAGGAGUGGGGAGUGGGGAAGCCCCAGAUGCUCACUGUUUUCGUACAAAGUGGUAAAAGAGACAAACAAGAAAAUACCAGAUAAUGAGUAGCAGCCGGAGAACUAAAAUAUGAUGAUGUGAUGAAGAGUGAGAGGUCACUUCUUUAGAUGGUUCUUAGGGGGGCCCCUUUUGUGGGGUAGUGACAUCUCUACUGAGAUCUGAAUGCCAGCUCAGAGCCAGCCACUUGGAAGACCAGACUAAGAACAUUCCAGGCAGAGGGAGGCCUGCAAGUGGCCCAAGGAUGCCGUGAGGAUGGAGAGAGUGGACGGAUGUCUCAAAAGUCAGCUCUAAAGUCGGAGUCAGAACAGGGGCUGCCGAUGCUCUGUCUCGCAGUCUACCUGGAGUGAUUCAACAUAGAAAUCAAUAAAACAAAUGCCACCA